UGGCGUCCCUGUCUGCAGCGCCGCGUCUGUCGACUUGUCCACGCCCGUGUUUUCCUGCCGUAAGAGGUUGCGCCUGAACUUGGCUCGGGCGUUCUGGAACCAGACCUGCGGGGGACGACAGGGAAGGGCUGGUGAGCGGAAGGCAGGCAGAGCAUCCCCCCGACUGCUUCACUCAGAGCUCUGCUGCCUCUGGGGACGCUGAUCUGUGUUUUGCCAAGAGGAUCCAAAAAGUCAGAGACGGGGUCUUGCAAUGUUGACCAGGCUGGUCUCAAACUCCAGGCUUCAAGUGAUCCCUCCUGCCUCAGCCUCCUAAAGCGUUGGGAUUACAGAUGUGGUUCCAGAGCUGAGCUGUACUCCCGAAUAUCACAGCCACGAGCCACGUAUGGCUGCUGAGCACUUAAAAUGGCAUUAGCCCAAAUUCAACCAGUCUGCAGGUGAAAACACACAACCUAUCUGAAGGCUGAAUAUGAAAAAAAAAGCAGGUAGAAUAUCUCAAUAAUUUUUAUAUUGAUUACAUGUCGAAAUGAUUAAUAGUUUGGCUAUACUGAGUUAAGCAAAAUACAUUAUUAAAAUUAAUUUUACUUUUACUUGUCUCUCUUCAUUUCUUCAAGGAGGCUACUAGGACAUUUAAAACUUAAAAUUAAAUGUGUGCCUCAUGUUGCAUUUCUAUCAGACACACCAAACACACACACCAGACAAAUCUUGAUCCUUUUCCUAAUGGUUCUUUGAGACAUUCCUUUUUUUUUUUUCUUUUUCCUUUUUUGGCAGUUGCCUUUCAGCAGACAAUAAACCCCACAAGUUCUUGUUGGUAAAAUGUUUUAAAUGUUUUGUGGUCAGUAAGUCUGGGAAUGCGAUAAAGAACACAUGAGAAUCAGGCAAUAAUAAUGAGUUACUAAGAGGAAGUGAAAGACACGGAACCUAUCCCCAUCAUCGGUUGGGGGAGCCACCAGGUACCCUGGGCCACUGGGUGUCAGGUCUCAGGGUGGAGGUGGGUGGAGGUAGGCAGCGUGGGAACGGCAGCCAAAUUAAAGUGAGGCCAGGGAAGUUGAAACCCGCAGAGUCUCUCUCCCGACCUGCUGCAUCCCGUAUCGACUUAUGAGGGACGUGCGGCGGGGCGCAGAGCUGGGGCUGAGCUCUGUCUGAAAAGAAUGUCAGUGAGAGAACAUGGGUUUACUUUCAUUUUUCCUUGGGCACAGACACACACGCGUCCACUCCCAUAUCUUUGCACACACGCCUGUAAGCAUUCAGGAAGACACACAGAAAUUCAUCUAAGGACGGGCACAGUGGCUCAAGCCCGUAAUCCCAGCACUUUGGGAGGCCGAGGCAGGUGGAUCACUUGAGGUCAGCAGUUCGAGACCAGCCUGUCCAACAUGGUGAAACCCCAUCUCUACUAAAAAUAUAAAAAAUUAGCUGGGUGUGAUGGUGCGCUCCUGUAACCUCAGCUACUCGGGAGGCUGAGACAGAAGAACUGCUUGAACCCGGGAGGCGGAGGAUACAGUGAGCCAAGAUCCCACCACUGCACUCCAGCCUGGGCCACAGAGCAAGACUCCAUCUCAAAAAAAAAAAAAAAAAAAAAAGAAAAGAAAAAUGAAAUUCAUCUACACAGCCAGCACCUAAGUACCACCACCCAUCUAACAGCACAAACACAGGGACCCGCUGUACCCAGAGGUCCACGAAGUACUUUGGGAGGGGCUUAGGAAAUCCAGGCCACUCUGGGGGGGUUGAACCUUCCAAGGAAAAAGUCCUGAAAGGCAGGGCCCCUUCACUUCCCUUUGCGUGAGGAAAACACCCGCCAGAAGCCUCCCCAUAAAACAAAGGGCCUCAGGGCACUCUGCAGAUUCUGGGGUGUCCAGUUGCGCAUUUCCAGAUGUCCUGCAUCUGCCUGUCUUCCCAGUGUCUCUGGCAGGAGAGGGAGGGCUGACUCCUGGCCCCACGCACCCCUUGGGACCACCCCGGCUGCAGGGGCCUGUGGCCUCAAACCCCCGUUUCUGGUGGCGUAACACAAUUUGGGCUCAAUUAAAAGCAAAUCCACAAGAAUCUUGGAGUAAAGUGGGAGAUCCAGACCCUGUGAAGUGGAGAAACCAAGCUCCCUCCUCAGUGCUGGAUCUUCCCAGGAAGAAGGCACAUUUUCCCUGGCUCUCCGCCCAAAGAAAGCCCAUCACCCCUUCUGGGGGCUGGCAAAUAAGUACAGUGCUUCUCAGACCACCCUUGACAUGCUUUCCCUGGGGUGGGGGGGUCCUUCCCUUUCCCGGCCAGCAGAAAUCUGUAGGGGAGAGACUGUGUCCUGGUGGCCUAAAGAAAAUGGAUGGGGAAGCCCCCAGAGGCCCUCAGAGAGAGGAAGUGACUUCCCCAAAGUCAUGCAGAUUGGGGUGGAGAAGGCCGGAGCCUUGGUGCCGCUGCCUUGCCACUGUCCUGGCCUGUGUGCGUGUGACCCCUGAGCAGCCUGUGCUCUGUGCGUCUGACUCUCAGAGCAGUAGCUGGAGCGGGGAGCCUGGGUCGAGGGUUUGAGGGUGCUUUGCCGGGUGCUCAUUUGCUCAUCCAUCCGGGGCUCCAAGACCUCGGGCAGGGCUGGACCCGGUUAGUUGCCGGCUGUUUGCUAUUUCUCAGGCUGUUGCCCCUAACAGUGGGCUUGUAAACAAUGACACCAUCGUCCACAACUACCUUCUCUGCUUUCCAGAGCUGAGGCACUGGGAAUCUGGUAGAUGAAAAUUCAACAACUUCAUUAAAAGCCCGGCUGCUCUGGGGUUGUGUGGGGUUUGUUCUUCAUGUUGUCAGGGCUUCACUAGAAUUCUCUCCCAGGUAUUUCAAAAAGUCCACUCCUGAGAGUUUGAUGGGAGCAGGGACCCUUUCUAUGCUAUCUUCAUGUCCCCCGGUGCAUGGCAGAGACUGGCAGAGAUUAAGAAUCAGUAAUAUGUAUUCAUAGGAAUGGCUGACAUGUAUGUACCUUUUACUAUGUGCCAGGCUCCAUGCCACCCUCCAGCAUGCACUGCCACAGGUUAUUCCCAUGAAAAGCCAAGUAGGUGGAUUCGACUAUUAUUAUUCCCAUUUUAUAGAUUUAUUUAUUGACUAUUAUUAUUAUUAUUAUUAUUUUUUGAGACAGAGUCUUGCUCUGUCACCCAGGCUGGAGUGCAGUGGCACGAUCUCAGCUCAUUUCAACCUCUGCCUCCCAGGUUCAAGUGAUUCUCUCCUGCCUCAAUCUCCUGAGUGGCUGGGAUUACAGGCACCCGCCACCAUGCCUGGCUAAUUUUUUUGUAUUUUUAGUACAGACGGAGUUUCACCAUGUUGGCCAGGCUGGUCUUGAACUCCUGACCUCAGGUGAUCCGCCCACCUUGGCCUCCCAAAGUUCUGGGAUUAUAGGCAUGAGCCACCGUGCCUGCCCUCACUGUAUAGAUUUAAAAACCAGAGAGGGUCAGAGUGGUAAAACCACUUGCCAAAGGUCACACAGAGGGCAACCUGAGACUGGAAUCCAGGACCACUUGCCCUAAAAGAGUCCAUGCUCUCCCUGCCACAUGGUCCUGAGGGAGGUAGCAAGUCCAUGAAUGAGUGAAUAAAUGGAUGAAGAAACAGAGAAGCAACUAUAGUGCAGUGGAAAGAGCAGCUUCCAGUCCUGGGACUACCACGUGACCUCGGGUUUGUCCCUCACCUCUGGACCGGCCUCAGUUUCUUCACUUGUACAACAAGAGGGUUAGACCACAUCAUACGAUCUCUAUGGCUCUCAGGGUUCUGACAGGCUGGGAUUCUUAGGCAGCUGCAAGCAACAAGGUGCAGUCUGCCCCACCCACCCAUCUUCUGAAACUGACAGGCCUUCUCUUUUCACAUGCCUCAAGUUCUCUGGACUGUGUGUCUGGGACAAGAAGGCGAAGUUCAGACAGAGAAUCAUCAGGACACAACUAACACCAGGCCGGGGUGCCCCAGCCUGGUGCGCGGUAGAUCUCCAAUAAGCCCUGGGUAGAUGAAGAAGCACACGUUGCUUCUUGCCCCUUCCCAGGCACUACCUGACCAUGCAAGUUGUGUUUUGCCUCACAAACCUCCUUCCCCAGAAUUCUUUCAUCAAGAAAGCCAGGAGGGCCAGUGGGAAACCCACUUUGCCCCCAGCAAAUCCCCACCUGGGAUGCUAAGGAAAUCAGCCAAAAGAUGAAAGCUUCAUGCCCAUCAUGGCAUUUUUAAUAACAUCAAACUAAUGGCUGCAUCCAAAGUGUCCACUCAGAUGCGGCAAGUGGGAGUCAUGACACAGCCACUCCACGAUGCCACAGGGGAAAUGUCUUGUGAUGGCUGUUAGGUGAAAAAAAGGAUAAAAAAAAACUAUGCCUUCUGGUAUUGUACCUUCAUAAAGCAAAUAAUAAUGAUGAAUACUAUUCCUCAUGAAGUGCCAGGCAUCUUUUUUUUUGAG
This 4390-nucleotide long non-coding RNA is filed under the name Homo sapiens (human). Its description in RNAcentral is "HSALNT0354800". The record is from RNAcentral. Lineage: Eukaryota; Metazoa; Chordata; Mammalia; Primates; Hominidae.